UUCAUCAUCCCUACGAAGAUAGCUAAAUUUUUAUGUUGCUUUUUCCAUAAAAUUUGUUUGAAUUUUAACCAAUAAAACGUGUAGUUUUCUACUAGCACAAGCGACAAUCGGUGAGAAAAUGUUCGGCGGCAAUGAGUGUAAUGUGCUGAGUGCUAGAGCAAGUAAUAUGGCCCAAAUGAGCGCAAACGAACCCUUUGACGAUGAGCUCUUUGAGACGCGCCUAGAGGCGCUGAAGGACACACAGGAGGGCAUACAGCAGAUGUCGAAUUGGUGCCUGCAGCACCGCCUCAACCAUAAGAAGAUCAUCCAGUCCUGGCUCAACGUUUUCAAAAGAGUGCGUGUGGAUCAUCGAUUGGUGCUCUUCUAUCUGGCCAACGAUGUCAUACAAUAUAGCAAGCGGAAGCGAUACGAAUUCGUGGAAUGCUGGGCCACAGCCCUCCAAAGAGCCACCACCAUGGUGCGAGAUGAACGUGUCAAGGAUAAGAUAUUGCGCAUCUUUAAGAUCUGGGAACAGCGUGAAAUCUACAAUGAGGAAUAUCUGAGCGAUCUCAGCGGUCUGCUCAACAUUACGCCGCCAAAGAAAUCGCAAAUUGAUGCCAGCGACGAGUUCCAGAAUGCCACACUCAUUGCCCAGGUGCGCGAGUGCGUGGAACUGGCGGAGGCCACCGACAAGAGCAUGAAGAAGCUGCCGAAGCCACCGCAUCUAGAGAUCGAGACCAUCAAGCAGCAGCUCAAGGACAAGAGCCACUCGGGGGACAUUGAAAAGGAAGUGGAACGCUGUGUGGCCUUUAUAAAUGCCUACAACAAGAAUUUGCAAAACGAAAUCAAGAGCCGCAAGGCAGUGCUUGCCAGCGUGGAGGCGGCUAAAAAGUUUUACGAGCAUCAAGGCAGAGAGGUCAAAGUGGUGGCCAGUGCCUAUAAAAGUUUCGGCACACGCAUAAAGAUUGUGAAAAGGAAGCUGGAUGAGACCAUACCCACGCUGCAAAGUCCCAUACCAUCGCCGGACAUAAAUGCGCCAUCGCCCGAGCGUGAUGCAGAUCUCCAGCUGCCCGACGAGACAAGUCCGCCAUUGGGAAUGAACAUGUUCAGCGGCGGAUUGAAUGGUUUCUCCAGCUAUUUGGACAGCGGCAAGCUCCCUUUCGACAUCAAUGACUUCAAGCGGGACUCGAAGGAUCUGGGAAGCGCCAUCGAGGUAAUUGGCUCGCGUUCGGAUGAUGAGGCCUAUGCGCCGAGCGCCAAUUUCUACAAACCAGAGCCCCUCUCCAGCUACAGCAACAACAACAGCAGCGGCAGCGCUGGCGGUGGCAACAACAGCUCCAUACCUGGCCUGGGUGGAGGAGUAGGAGGCGGCGGCGGCGGCGGGUCUGGUGGUGGCGGGGAAUACAAUCCCAAUCAUUCGCAGUUUGACAGUCCAUUGGCACCGUCUGCGAUUUUUGGUUCCAACAACCAGGAACAGUAUGUGCCUCCGCUGCCCUCGCAUCAUGGCUAUGGGGGAAAUAGUGGCGGCGGUCAGGAUGCACAAUAUACACCCGCUCCAAUGCCUCCACCCCCAUUGCCACCAUCCAUUGGCUCGACUGGCGGCGGCGGUGGCGGCGGAAAUGGAGGAGAUGACUUCAACAGCACCUGGAACAUGAGCAUGUCGUGGACGCCGCUGGACACCAGUUUAAAUAGCAGCGGUGCCAGUUCCUCCGCCUAUAAUCCGCAGUCCACGCCGCAUUCACCGCCCCAUUUCGAGCGCAAGGCCAGUGUCGCCCCGCCAGAGUACAGCGAGCAUUUGCACAAUAAUGCCGCAGCACUGGGCGCCGAGGAUGUGGAUCAUCGCACGCUCCAGCUGCCGCCGGCCUUUAAUUUCGGGGCAAAGCUGGGUCUCAGCCAGGACAAGACACGCCAGCUGGUAGAUAUUGAUCAUAGGAAUCUUAUAUCCCUCACUGGUUCCCCUGGCGGUGCAGAUAAGGAUUUUGGUGGUGGUGGUGGGGAUGUGGACUAUCGCAUUGUGCCAGGCUCUGCUGAUGAGGGCAUCAUGGCUCCGCCUGGCAAUAGCUAUGCCAAGACCAAGACCAGCUCUCCGCACAAAUCCAAUGCGAGCUCUUCAUCGGAAUCCGAUCGUUUAGAUGGCGGUACACGCUAUGAUCCUGCAGAUAUGGUCAUAGAUAUGGACAUGUCGGACGAUGAUAUCGAUGAGUCGCAGCGAGAACCCAAGGAGGAACUGGAGGAGGCUGAAGUGGAUGCCAAUGGUGGUUUGACGCCAUCGCGUCCUGUACUUUUGGAAACCCCCACAGAUUUUAUGAAUCCCUGGGAGUCGAACAACAGUUUUCUGGGCCAGCCAAUGCAGGAUAUGUCCGGGGAGCAGGACCAGCAGCAGCAGCAUUCACCGCUUGGCCAGCAGCAGCAGCAACCAUGGAAUCAAAUGCCUCAAAUGCAUAUAGGAGCGGGAGCACCGCCGCCGCCGCAACCGCCGUAUGGAGCUCCCUUUCCGUAUCAGCGUUACGGGCCACCCAUGAACAGUCCGGACAACAUGCAGCAGCGUGGCCGUGGACGAGGUCGCGGCUGGUCGAACCAGGGACCGUAUCCAAGAGCACCCUAUCAGCGGCCGCCUGGACCUUACGAUGGUGGACCCGGACCUGGGCCACGACCGUUCUAUGCACGCGGUGGCGGUGGUGGGCCUGGAGGCGGCGGCAGCAUCGGUGGUCAGAUGCGUGGACGUGGGCGCAUGCGUGAGUUCAUAGAGCGGUGGCUUAGUGACGGGAAACAUAAGCAGUUCCCAUAGUUCGCAUAGCAUUUACAAAUGACUAUGUUUAAAUCAAUUGAUAUUUGGUCGGUAUCCUGCCAAAGGAUCUAAGGCAGCGCUAGGGUCCUGUUUAAGGAUCACUGUUUACCUGUUGACGUUUGCGGCUCUUAAUCACUUCUGUUUGGAGGUCCGGCCCCUCUCUCGCUCUAUCUUCUGUCGUGUCGGAAGUCGGAAUUCAUUAAUCGUGUGCUGAUUGACCAAGGAUUAUUUUUAUAAAAAUAAUAUACAUACAUAAUUUUAAAAAAGAUUCCCAUGCACUC
This 3048-nucleotide unclassified non-coding RNA is filed under the name Drosophila pseudoobscura pseudoobscura. Its description in RNAcentral is "GA13540". Lineage: Eukaryota; Metazoa; Arthropoda; Insecta; Diptera; Drosophilidae. The record is from RNAcentral.